This 700-nucleotide ribosomal RNA is filed under the name uncultured Staphylococcus sp. RNAcentral describes it as "bacterial SSU rRNA". It matches the Rfam family "Bacterial small subunit ribosomal RNA", at positions 72 to 757 of the family's 1533-position model. Lineage: Bacteria; Bacillati; Bacillota; Bacilli; Caryophanales; Staphylococcaceae. The record is from RNAcentral.
CGAGGAGCUUGCUCCUCUGACGUUAGCGGCGGACGGGUGAGUAACACGUGGAUAACCUACCUAUAAGACUGGGAUAACUUCGGGAAACCGGAGCUAAUACCGGAUAAUAUAUUGAACCGCAUGGUUCAAUAGUGAAAGACGGUUUUGCUGUCGCUUAUAGAUGGAUCCGCGCCGCAUUAGCUAGUUGGUAAGGUAACGGCUUACCAAGGCAACGAUGCGUAGCCGACCUGAGAGGGUGAUCGGCCACACUGGAACUGAGACACGGUCCAGACUCCUACGGGAGGCAGCAGUAGGGAAUCUUCCGCAAUGGGCGAAAGCUUGACGGAGCAACGCCGCGUGAGUGAUGAAGGUCUUCGGAUCGUAAAACUCUGUUAUUAGGGAAGAACAAAUGUGUAAGUAACUAUGCACGUCUUGACGGUACCUAAUCAGAAAGCCACGGCUAACUACGUGCCAGCAGCCGCGGUAAUACGUAGGUGGCAAGCGUUAUCCGGAAUUAUUGGGCGUAAAGCGCGCGUAGGCGGUUUUUUAAGUCUGAUGUGAAAGCCCACGGCUCAACCGUGGAGGGUCAUUGGAAACUGGAAAACUUGAGUGCAGAAGAGGAAAGUGGAAUUCCAUGUGUAGUGGUGAAAUGCGCAGAGAUAUGGAGGAACACCAGUGGCGAAGGCGACUUUCUGGUCUGUAACUGACGCUGAUGUGCGAA